Molecule: long non-coding RNA, 1854 nt
Organism: Cyprinus carpio (common carp)
Lineage: Eukaryota; Metazoa; Chordata; Actinopteri; Cypriniformes; Cyprinidae
Source: Ensembl
UUUAAAUGUAUAAUUACAUAUUUAUAAUAGAAAUAACAAAUAUCAUUUAAUUAAUUAAACACAUUAUUAGAUUUUAAAUAAAAAAAAAUGUUUUGUAAAUGCUAUUUAUUAUUAUUAUUAUUAUUAUUAUUAUUAUUAUUAUUAUUAUUUGGUCAUAUGUUCUUAGCACAAAAUGAUCUUUGAAGUUCACUUGUGGUCUCAGACUUUUGACUAUUUUAUAAUAGUUUUCUUUUCUGUACUUAUUUAUUUAUUUUUUUAGAUAUUUGACACUUGCAGUUCUGAAUAGUGGCUAAUGACUCACUAUAUCCACAUCCCUUUCUUUGUCUCUCUGAACUCCUAUCUUUGCACUCGGCUGAGAGGCUGUGAGGGGUCGUGACCUCCGUGGCCUUUUGUUCCCUCAGUGAGUUGGGUUACAGACAGUGCCUCAUCAGCCAUGCUGUAGAUGACCUUCUGUACUCCUGUCCCUCAGAGCUAUGCGGGGCCAUUGGCCUCUCUGCCGCAGUGUUAAAGCUGCCUUUUAUAGAGCAGACUGCCCCAGCAGCAUGCUGGGAGACAAACAGAGACAAAUGGGCUUGGGUUUUUUCUUCAGAAUAGUUAAAUCAACAAGUGCGACAGAAAAAAUGAAUGCAAGACCAAGGAGGUCCAUAGCACCUGGAGAAAGCUAUCCAUUAGCAUUCACAUUCAUCUCAAUGGCAUAUUCUCAGAAUGGAGCAAGAACAAGAAUGCACACAGUCCCACAAACAUCACUAGCGACUAUCCUGGGAUGUGACGUGAAAGGCAACAAUGUCCCUCACCAGUUUUCAGCUGCUAUGGGCCGUCCACAGGCCAUCAAUAUUGAUCACCUUGCUAUAUGAAAAAACCCUAAAAUCCCCUUUUUCCCGAUGUAAUUGACUUGCACUAUUGAUUAAUUAAUUAUAGAUGUUGACAUCAGCAGCAUUAACAUUAGAAAAAUGAAAGAUGUCGAAUUUAUUCAAGUGAAUUAAUUAUUCAUUUCAUUCAUGUAUGCAUAUUUAUAUAUUCAUUCAUGUAUUAAUUUAUACAGAUUUUUGGAAGUUGAAAAAUGCCAUAGUCUUCAAUAGACAUAUGACUUCACAUUAUACUAACAGCUCAGCCUGUCCUGCCUAGGAGGAGGUGAUUCACAACUUUUAUUGCACCAAUACUGCCUACUCAUCUACACUAUCCCUGAGCAGCCUGCGCUCUCCUGCGUCAUACAACAGUGUCCUCCCUGGGACCUUUAACUUCAGAUGACCCCUGGGGGGUGGAGCUCUUCAUUUCCUGCCCUGCUGGUGACUCACACCCAUCAAAGAAGGUGUUUAUCAGUCUGACCUUUCAUGACCUCUCCUGUUUCCUGCUGAUGACUGAUUGACCCCUGUGGGUGACCUCUUGUUGAUUUUUAUCUGCUUUUAACACAUAUCCAGUUUAUGCCUCAAUGCAUCUUGUCAGAAGUGUCAUGUUUGUUCAUGAUCCAAGCUUGUUCAUACUCAUUCUUGAUUCUUAAAGGCAGGAUUUUUAGGUCAAUUGGGAUAGUUUUUGCCAUUGAAAUGAAUAUAUAUAUAUAUAUAUAUAUAUAUAUAUAUAUGUAUAUGUAUACCCACAAAAUAGAUAUAUUCUUGCCUAAAUGAGAUGAAACGGCCAAAAAAUAGAUGCACAAUGAUGUCACUACCUCUAGCAACUCAUAAAUGUGUCAUCUCGUCAUGACAGAGUAUAAUAAUGUUUGUGUAAUGCAUGUACAUUUUAAUUGCAAAUAGAUUUCCUUUUACAUGUGACAAAUCCAUGGGAAUUCUAAAUAAGAAUAUGAUAAAUGUGUGGAUUAUUUGUAUGUGACACAUAUUAGUCCCAUUAUGGGUGUUGCAU